RNAcentral lists this ribosomal RNA (467 nucleotides) under uncultured Bacteroidota bacterium. RNAcentral's name for it is "bacterial SSU rRNA". It matches the Rfam family "Bacterial small subunit ribosomal RNA", at positions 56 to 524 of the family's 1533-position model. The record is from RNAcentral. Lineage: Bacteria; Pseudomonadati; Bacteroidota.
UGCAAGUCGAGGGGUAGUUAUCUUCGGAUAAUGAGACCGGCGCACGGGUGCGUAACGCGUAUGCAAUCUACCUUGUACAGAGGGAUAGCCCAGAGAAAUUUGGAUUAAUACCUCAUAGUAUAUUUGAAUCGCAUGGUUUAAAUAUUAAAGAUUUAUCGGUACAAGAUGAGCAUGCGUCCCAUUAGUUAGUUGGUAAGGUAACGGCUUACCAAGACAAUGAUGGGUAGGGGUCCUGAGAGGGAGAUCCCCCACACUGGUACUGAGACACGGACCAGACUCCUACGGGAGGCAGCAGUGAGGAAUAUUGGACAAUGGGCGCAAGCCUGAUCCAGCCAUGCCGCGUGCAGGAAGACGGUCCUAUGGAUUGUAAACUGCUUUUGUACAGGAAGAAACACUCGUACGUGUACGAGCUUGACGGUACUGUAAGAAUAAGGAUCGGCUAACUCCGUGCCAGCAGCCGCGGUAAU